RNAcentral lists this ribosomal RNA (450 nucleotides) under uncultured bacterium. Its description in RNAcentral is "partial 16S ribosomal RNA". It matches the Rfam family "Bacterial small subunit ribosomal RNA", at positions 354 to 796 of the family's 1533-position model. The record is from RNAcentral.
GUGGGGAAUAUUGGACAAUGGGCGAAAGCCUGAUCCAGCCAUGCCGCGUGUGUGAAGAAGGUCUUCGGAUUGUAAAGCACUUUAAGUUGGGAGGAAGGGCAGUAAGUUAAUACCUUGCUGUUUUGACGUUACCGACAGAAUAAGCACCGGCUAACUUCGUGCCAGCAGCCGCGGUAAUACGAAGGGUGCAAGCGUUAAUCGGAAUUACUGGGCGUAAAGCGCGCGUAGGUGGUUUUGUAAGUUGGAGGUGAAAUCCCCGGGAUCAACCUGGGAACUUCCUCCAAAACUGCAUGACUAGAGUACGGUAGAGGGUAGUGGAAUUUCCUGUGUAGCGGUGAAAUGCGUAGAUAUAGGAAGGAACACCAGUGGCGAAGGCGACUACCUGGACUGAUACUGACACUGAGGUGCGAAAGCGUGGGGAGCAAACAGGAUUAGAUACCCCGGUAGUCC